GAUGAAGAACGCAGCGAAAUGCGAUAAGUAGUGUGAAUUGCAGAAUUCAGUGAAUCAUCGAAUCUUUGAACGCACAUUGCGCCCUUUGGUAUUCCUUAGGGCAUGCCUGUUUGAGCGUCAUUUAAACCUUCAAGCUAAGCUUGGUGUUGGGUGACUGUCCGCUUCACGGCGGACUCGCCUCAAAAUUAUUGGCGGCCGGUACAUUGGCUUCGAGCGCAGCAGAAACGCGAACUCGGGCCCGUCGUAUUGGCUCCCAGAAGCUAUCUUCACAAUUUUGACCUCGGAUCAGGUAGGGAUACCCGCUGAACUUAAGCAUAUCAAUAAGCGGAGGA
RNAcentral lists this unclassified non-coding RNA (332 nucleotides) under soil metagenome. RNAcentral's name for it is "partial contains 5.8S ribosomal RNA, internal transcribed spacer 2, and large subunit ribosomal RNA". The stretch from base 1 to 120 matches the Rfam family "5.8S ribosomal RNA", at positions 35 to 154 of the family's 154-position model. The record is from RNAcentral.